RNAcentral lists this ribosomal RNA (468 nucleotides) under uncultured bacterium. RNAcentral's name for it is "partial 16S ribosomal RNA". It matches the Rfam family "Bacterial small subunit ribosomal RNA", at positions 28 to 507 of the family's 1533-position model. The record is from RNAcentral.
GACGAACGCUGGCGGCGUGCUUAACACAUGCAAGUCGAACGGAAAGGCCCUGCUUUUGUGGGGUGCUCGAGUGGCGAACGGGUGAGUAACACGUGAGUAACCUGCCCUUGACUUUGGGAUAACUUCAGGAAAAUGGGGCUAAUACCGGAUAGGAGCUCCUGCUGCAUGGUGGGGGUUGGAAAGUUUCGGCGGUUGGGGAUGGACUCGCGGCUUAUCCGCUUGUUGGUGGGGUAGUGGCUUACCAAGGCUUUGACGGGUAGCCGGCCUGAGAGGGUGACCGGCCACAUUGGGACUGAGAUACGGCCCAGACUCCUACGGGAGGCAGCAGUGGGGAAUAUGGCACAAUGGGCGGAAGCCUGAUGCAGCAACGCCGCGUGCGGGAUGACGGCCUUCGGGUUGUAAACCGCUUUCGCCUGUGACGAAGCGUGAGUGACGGUAAUGGGUAAAGAAGCACCGGCUAACUACGUG